RNAcentral lists this ribosomal RNA (292 nucleotides) under uncultured bacterium. Its description in RNAcentral is "partial 16S ribosomal RNA". It matches the Rfam family "Bacterial small subunit ribosomal RNA", at positions 505 to 796 of the family's 1533-position model. The record is from RNAcentral.
GUGUCAGCCGCCGCGGUAAUACGUAGGCAGCAAGCGUUGUUCGGAGUUACUGGGCGUAAAGAGUAUGUAGGCGGUUGGGUAAGUUUGGUGUGAAAUCUCCCGGCUUAACUGGGAGGGUGCGCUAAAGACUGCCUGGCUCGAGUGUGGGAGAGGAAAGCGGAAUUCCUGGUGUAGCGGUGAAAUGCGUAGAUAUCAGGAGGAACACCUGCGGUGUAGACGGCUUUCUGGACCAUAACUGACGCUGAGAUACGAAAGCGUGGGUAGCAAACAGGAUUAGAUACCCCUGUAGUCC